GGAUAAGCACUGGAAACGGUGUUAAUACCGGAUACGAGUUCAGCCGCAUGGCUAGGAGCUGGAAAGAUUUCGGUCAACGAUGCACUCGGGCCUAUCAGCUAGAUGGUGAGGUAACGGCCCACAAGGGACGACCGGUAGCCGGCUGAGAGGGUGACCGGCCACACUGGACUGAGACACGGCCCAGACUCCUACGGGAGGCAGCAGUGGGGAAUAUUGCACAAUGGGCGCAAGCCUGAUGCAGCAACGCCGCGUGAGGGACGACGGCCUUCGGGUUGUAAACCUCUUUUAGUAGGGAAGAAGCGAAAGUGACGGUACCUGCAGAAAAAGCACCGGCUAACUACGUGCCAGCAGCCGCGGUAAUACGUAGGGUGCAAGCGUUAUCCGGAAUUAUUGGGCGUAAAGAGCUCGUAGGCGGUUUGUCGCGUCUGCUGUGAAAACUGGAGGCUCAACCUCCAGCCUGCAGUGGGUACGGGCAGACUAGAGUGCGGUAGGGGAGAUUGGAAUUCCUGGUGUAGCGGUGGAAUGCGCAGAUAUCAGGAGGAACACCGAUGGCGAAGGCAGAUCUCUGGGCCGUAACUGACGCUGAGGAGCGAAAGCAUGGGGAGCGAACAGGAUUAGAUACCCUGGUAGUCCAUGCCGUAAACGUUGGGAACUAGAUGUAGGGACCAUUCCACGGUUUCUGUGUCGCAGCUAACGCAUUAAGUUCCCCGCCUGGGGAGUACGGCCGCAAGGCUAAAACUCAAAGGAAUUGACGGGGGCCCGCACAAGCGGCGGAGCAUGCGGAUUAAUUCGAUGCAACGCGAAGAACCUUACCAAGGCUUGACAUAUACCGGAAAAGUUCAGAAAUGUUCUCCCCGCAAGGUCGGUAUACAGGUGGUGCAUGGCUGUCGUCAGCUCGUGUCGUGAGAUGUGGGGUUAAGUCCCGCAACGAGCGCAACCCUCGUUCUAUGUUGCCAGCACGUAUGGUGGGACUCAUAGAGACUGCGGGUCACUCGAGAGGUGGGAUGACGUCAAUCAUCAUGCCCUUAUGUCUGGCCUCACGCAUGCUACAUGCCGAUCAAGGCCUGCAUACCGCAGGUGAAGCGAAUCCCAAAAAGUCGGUCUCAGUUCAGAUUGGGGUCUGCAACUCGACCCCAUGAAGUCGGAGUCGCUAGUAAUCGCAGAUCAGCAACGC
RNAcentral lists this ribosomal RNA (1174 nucleotides) under Glaciihabitans tibetensis. Its description in RNAcentral is "bacterial SSU rRNA". It matches the Rfam family "Bacterial small subunit ribosomal RNA", at positions 141 to 1357 of the family's 1533-position model. Lineage: Bacteria; Bacillati; Actinomycetota; Actinomycetes; Micrococcales; Microbacteriaceae. The record is from RNAcentral.